RNAcentral lists this transfer RNA (72 nucleotides) under Ailuropoda melanoleuca (giant panda). It matches the Rfam family "tRNA". From Rfam's summary of the family: Transfer RNA (tRNA) molecules are approximately 80 nucleotides in length. Lineage: Eukaryota; Metazoa; Chordata; Mammalia; Carnivora; Ursidae. The record is from Rfam by way of RNAcentral.
GCCUGGCUGGCUCAGCCGUAGAGCAUGUGACUCUUGAUCUCAGCGUUGUGAGUUCGAGACCCACGCUGGGCG